Molecule: ribosomal RNA, 169 nt
Filed under: uncultured bacterium
Lineage: Bacteria
Description: partial 16S ribosomal RNA
Rfam family: Bacterial small subunit ribosomal RNA
Source: RNAcentral
CCUACGGGAGGCAGCAGUGAGGAAUAUUGGACAAUGGGCGCAAGCCUGAUCCAGCCAUGCCGCGUGAGUGAUGAAGGCCCUAGGGUUGUAAAGCUCUUUUGUGCGGGAAGAUAAUGACGGUACCGCAAGAAUAAGCCCCGGCUAACUUCGUGCCAGCAGCCGCGGUAAU